GCCACUGUGGCGUAGUGGUUUGAUUGUUAGACUAGGACUUUGGAGACCAGGGUUCGAUUCCCACUUGGCU
This 70-nucleotide transfer RNA is filed under the name Phrynosoma platyrhinos (Desert horned lizard). RNAcentral's name for it is "tRNA-OTHER". Lineage: Eukaryota; Metazoa; Chordata; Lepidosauria; Squamata; Phrynosomatidae. The record is from RNAcentral.